GAAAUGCGAUAAGUAAUGUGAAUUGCAGAAUUCAGUGAAUCAUCGAAUCUUUGAACGCACCUUGCGCUCCUUGGUACUCCGAGGAGCAUGCCUGUUUGAGUGUCAUUAAUUUCUCAAAAACUUGUCAUUAUGAUAAAUAUGACAGAUUUUUGGUCUAUGGGAAUUGCGGGAUCCUGUAAUGGGAGCCAGCUCUCUUCAAAUGGAUGAGCAGAGUCAAACAUAACGUUCUAUUGGCAUGAUAAGAUAAAGUCAUUGCCGGUAAAAGAGCUGAUUGUUUUGAGUAUCUGCUAUAUUCUUUACUAGUCCUAUUGGACGAAUYGAUAAAAUUGACCUCAAAUCAGGUAGGAUUACCCGCUGAACUUAA
Molecule: ribosomal RNA, 364 nt
Filed under: Amanita sp. 92-404
Lineage: Eukaryota; Fungi; Basidiomycota; Agaricomycetes; Agaricales; Amanitaceae
Description: eukaryotic LSU rRNA
Rfam family: 5.8S ribosomal RNA (bases 1-105)
Source: RNAcentral